Molecule: non-coding RNA, 215 nt
Filed under: Desulfosarcina cetonica
Lineage: Bacteria; Pseudomonadati; Thermodesulfobacteriota; Desulfobacteria; Desulfobacterales; Desulfosarcinaceae
Source: RNAcentral
GUUAAGGAGACGAUAACAGGUGCGGGAAUGCGUGACGUCGCGCAUCCCGUUAAAAGGAAAGAUGGUGUGAUUCCAUCGCAUACCAGCCGUUGCUGUGAUCGGGAACGACCGCCGCACGAUGCCACUGUCGACUUAUCGUCGACGGGAAGGCGCGGUCAGUAGGAACUAAAAAACGCCCGUAAGCCAGAAAGCCUGCCUGUUGAUUGCCCGGCGGU